ACGCUGGCGGCGUGCCUAACACAUGCAAGUCAACUUGACUGAAGGAGCAAUCUGACAGUAGAGUGGCGCAAGGGUGUGUAACGCGUAAGUAACUUGCCCCAAGGUAAGGAAUAACGUCGAGAAAUCGGCGCUAAUACCUCAUAAUGCAGCGGAUCCGCAUGGAUAUGUUGUUAAAGGUUUACCGCCUUGGGAUAGGCUUGCGUCUGAUUAGCUAGUUGGUGUGGUAACGGCACACCAAGGCUACGAUCAGUAACUGGUCUGAGAGGAUGAUCAGUCACACUGGAACUGAGACACGGUCCAGACUCCUACGGGAGGCAGCAGUGAGGAAUAUUGGGCAAUGCUCGAAAGAGUGACCCAGCAACGCCGCGUGGAGGAUGAAGGUAUUCUAUAUCGUAAACUCCUGUGAGAGCAGACGAAAGACAGAUUAUUAAUCUGGAUGACUGUAUGCUCAGAGGAAGCCCCGGCUAACUACGUG
RNAcentral lists this ribosomal RNA (475 nucleotides) under uncultured bacterium. RNAcentral's name for it is "bacterial SSU rRNA". It matches the Rfam family "Bacterial small subunit ribosomal RNA", at positions 33 to 507 of the family's 1533-position model. The record is from RNAcentral.